This 337-nucleotide ribosomal RNA is filed under the name uncultured bacterium. RNAcentral describes it as "bacterial SSU rRNA". It matches the Rfam family "Bacterial small subunit ribosomal RNA", at positions 28 to 362 of the family's 1533-position model. The record is from RNAcentral.
GACGAACGCUGGCGGCGUGCUUAACACAUGCAAGUCGAACGGAAAGGCCCUGCUUUUGUGGGGUGCCCGAGUGGCGAACGGGUGAGUAACACGUGAGUAACCUGCCCUUGACUUUGGGAUAACUUCAGGAAACUGGGGCUAAUACCGGAUAGGAGCUCCUGCUGCAAUGGGUGGGGGUUGGAAAGUUUCGGCGGUUGGGGAUGGACUCGCGGCUUAUCAGCUUGUUGGUGGGUAGUGGCUUACCAAGGCUUUGACGGGUAGCCGGCCUGAGAGGGUGACCGGCCACAUUGGGACUGAGAUACGGCCCAGACUCCUACGGGAGGCAGCAGUGGGGAAU